ACGAAGAGUUUGAUCCUGGCUCAGGAUGAACGCUAGCGACAGGCCUAACACAUGCAAGUCGAGGGGCAGCACGAAGGAAGCUUGCUUUCUUUGGUGGCGACCGGCGCACGGGUGCGUAACAGGUGUGCAAUCUGUCCAUAGUCGGGGAAUAGCCCAGCGAAAGUUGGAUUAAAGCUCCAUGUGAGUAGAAGCCGCAUGACUUUUACUUGAAACGUAAGGACUAUGGGUGAGCACGCUUCUGAUUAGGUAGUUGGUGGGGUAACGGCCCACCAAGCCGACGAUCAGUAGGGGUUCUGAGAGGAAGGUCCCCCACAUUGGAACUGAGACACGGUCCAAACUCCUACGGGAGGCAGCAGUGAGGAAUAUUGGUCCUAUGGAUUGUAAACUUCUUUUGUCCGAGGGUAAAAAAGGCCACGUGUGGCUUCUUGCAAGUAUCGGACGAAUAAGCAUCGGCUAACUCCGUGCCAGCAGCCGCGGUAAUACGGAGGAUGCGAGCGUUAUCCGGAUUUAUUGGGUUUAAAGGGUGCGUAGGUGGUUUGUUAAGUUUGUGGUGAAAGCGUGCGGCUCAACCGUACCAAGCCAUGAAAACUGGCGAACUUGAGUGCAAACGAGGUAGGCGGAAUGUGAUGUGUAGCGGUGAAAUGCUUAGAUAUGUCACAGAACCCCGAUUGCGAAGGCAGCUUACCAGCAUGCAACUGACACUGAGGCACGAAAGCGUGGGUAUCAAACAGGAUUAGAUACCCUGGUAGUCCACGCAGUAAACGAUGAAUACUAGCUGUUGGCGAUAUAAUGUCAGCGGUACAGCGAAAGUGUUAAGUAUUCCACCUGGGGAGUACGCCGGCAACGGUGAAACUCAAAGGAAUUGACGGGGGCCCGCACAAGCGGAGGAACAUGUGGUUUAAUUCGAUGAAAGUUAGUGACGGCGGAUGAAAGUCUGCUUCCCUUCGGGGCACGAAACUAGGUGCUGCAUGGUUGUCGUCAGCUCGUGCCGUGAGGUGUCGGCUUAAGUGCCAUAACGAGCGCAACCCUUGCCGUUAGUUGCCAGCGGGUAAUGCCGGGAACUCUAGCGGGACUGCUACUGUAAGGUAGAGGAAGGUGGGGAUGACGUCAAAUCAGCACGGCCCUUACGUCCGGGGCGACACACGUGUUACAAUGGUGGGUACAGAGGGUUGCUACCACGCGAGUGGAUGCUAAUCUCCUAAAACCCAUCUCAGUUCGGAUCGGAGUCUGCAACUCGACUCCGUGAAGCUGGAUUCGCUAGUAAUCGCGCAUCAGCCAUGGCGCGGUGAAUACGUUCCCGGGCCUUG
RNAcentral lists this ribosomal RNA (1307 nucleotides) under bovine gut metagenome. Its description in RNAcentral is "Bacterial small subunit ribosomal RNA". It matches the Rfam family "Bacterial small subunit ribosomal RNA". The record is from RNAcentral.